AACGUAGGAGACGAGCGUUAUCCGGAUUUACUGGGCGUAAAGCGCGUGCAGGCGGCAUGGCAAGUUGGAUGUGAAAGCUCCCGGCUUAACUGGGAGAGGUCGUUCAAAACUGCCAAGCUUGAGAGUGGUAGAGGGAAGCGGAAUUCCGGGUGUAGUGGUGAAAUGCGUAGAUAUCCGGAGGAACACCAGUGGCGAAAGCGGCUUCCUGGCCCAUUUCUGACGCUCAGACGCGAAAGCUAGGGUAGCAAACGGG
Molecule: ribosomal RNA, 253 nt
Filed under: uncultured bacterium
Lineage: Bacteria
Description: partial 16S ribosomal RNA
Rfam family: Bacterial small subunit ribosomal RNA
Source: RNAcentral